Molecule: ribosomal RNA, 383 nt
Filed under: uncultured eukaryote
Lineage: Eukaryota
Description: partial 18S ribosomal RNA
Rfam family: Eukaryotic small subunit ribosomal RNA
Source: RNAcentral
CAAUAGCGUAUAUUAAAGUUGUUGCAGUUAAAAAGCUCGUAGUUGGAUUUCUGGUGGGAGCGAUCGGUCUGGCGCUUAGCGCGAGUACUUGCAUCGUCUCCGGCCAUCCUUGGGGAAAGUCUGUCUGGCAUUAAGUUGUCGGGCAGAGGAUCCUCAUCGUUUACUGUGAAAAAAUUAGAGUGUUCAAAGCAGGCUUAUGCCGUUGAAUAUAUUAGCAUGGAAUAAUAAGAUAGGACUUUGGUACUAUUUUGUUGGUUUGCGCACCAAAGUAAUGAUUAAUAGGGACAGUUGGGGGUGUUCGUAUUCCGUUGUCAGAGGUGAAAUUCUUGGAUUUACGGAAGACGAACUACUGCGAAAGCAUUUACCAAGGAUGUUUUCAUUAA